UACGGAGGGGGCUAGCGUUGUUCGGAAUUACUGGGCGUAAAGCGCGCGUAGGCGGACCUGCAAGUCGGGGGUGAAAGCCCGAGGCUUAACCUCGGAACUGCCUUCGAUACUGCGGGUCUCGAGUCCGGGAGAGGUGAGUGGAAUUCCUAGUGUAGAGGUGAAAUUCGUAGAUAUUAGGAAGAACACCAGUGGCGAAGGCGGCUCACGGGCCCGGUACUGACGAUGAGGCGCGAAAGCGUGGGGAGCAAACAGG
Molecule: ribosomal RNA, 253 nt
Filed under: uncultured bacterium
Lineage: Bacteria
Description: partial 16S ribosomal RNA
Rfam family: Bacterial small subunit ribosomal RNA
Source: RNAcentral